GGGCCUGUAGCUCAGUUGGCAGAGCAGGGGACUUUUAAUCCCAAGGUCGUGAGUUCGAUUCUCACCGGGCCCA
Molecule: transfer RNA, 73 nt
Filed under: Acidimicrobiia bacterium
Lineage: Bacteria; Bacillati; Actinomycetota; Acidimicrobiia
Description: tRNA-Lys
Rfam family: tRNA
About the family: Transfer RNA (tRNA) molecules are approximately 80 nucleotides in length.
Source: RNAcentral